UUGAACGCUGGCGGCAUGCCUUACCCCUGCAAGUCGAACGGCAGCACGGGUGCUUGCCCCUGGUGGCGAGUGGCGAACGGGUGAGUAAUACAUCGGAACAUGUCCUGUAGUGGGGGAUAGCCCGGCGAAAGCCGGAUUAAUACCGCAUACGAUCUACGGAUGAAAGCGGGGGACCUUCGGGCCUCGCGCUAUAGGGUUGGCCGAUGGCUGAUUAGCUAGUUGGUGGGGUAAAGGCCUACCAAGGCGACGAUCAGUAGCUGGUCUGAGAGGACGACCAGCCACACUGGGACUGAGACACGGCCCAGACUCCUACGGGAGGCAGCAGUGGGGAAUUUUGGACAAUGGGCGAAAGCCUGAUCCAGCAAUGCCGCGUGUGUGAAGAAGGCCUUCGGGUUGUAAAGCACUUUUGUCCGGAAAGAAAUCCUUGGCCCUAAUACGGUCGGGGGAUGACGGUACCGGAAGAAUAAGCACCGGCUAACUACGUG
RNAcentral lists this ribosomal RNA (485 nucleotides) under uncultured bacterium. Its description in RNAcentral is "partial 16S ribosomal RNA". It matches the Rfam family "Bacterial small subunit ribosomal RNA", at positions 30 to 507 of the family's 1533-position model. The record is from RNAcentral.